GUGAGUAACACGUGGGUAACCUACCUAUAAGACUGGGAUAACUUCGGGAAACCGGAGCUAAUACCGGAUAACAUUUGGAACCGCAUGGUUCUAAAGUGAAAGAUGGUUUUGCUAUCACUUAUAGAUGGACCCGCGCCGUAUUAGCUAGUUGGUAAGGUAACGGCUUACCAAGGCGACGAUACGUAGCCGACCUGAGAGGGUGAUCGGCCACACUGGAACUGAG
Molecule: ribosomal RNA, 223 nt
Filed under: Staphylococcus saprophyticus
Lineage: Bacteria; Bacillati; Bacillota; Bacilli; Caryophanales; Staphylococcaceae
Description: partial 16S ribosomal RNA
Rfam family: Bacterial small subunit ribosomal RNA
Source: RNAcentral